Molecule: ribosomal RNA, 460 nt
Filed under: bacterium
Lineage: Bacteria
Description: bacterial SSU rRNA
Rfam family: Bacterial small subunit ribosomal RNA
Source: RNAcentral
CUUAAUGAGAGUUUGAUCCUAGCUCAGGGUGAAUGCUGGCGGCGUGGAUAAGUCAUGCAAGUCAAGGGGGCCCGCAAGGGCAACCGGCAGACGAGGUAGUAACGCGUAGGUAGAUCCCCCGAAGUCGGGCAUAGCCAUCCGAAAGGAUGGGUAAUUCCCGAUAGUCCCGCAAGGGUAAAGGCAAUUAUUUAUUUAGUUGUCGCUUCGGGAGUUGCCUGCGCAGUAUCAGCUAGUUGGUAGGGUAAUGGCCUACCAAGGCUACGACGCUUAGGGGGGCUGAGAGGCCGAUCCCCACCGGUGGAACUGCGACACGGUCCACACUCCUACGGGAGGCUGCAGACGAGAAUAUUCCGCAAUGGACGAAAGUCUGACGGAGCGACGCCGCGUGAUCGAUGAAGUGCUUCGGUACGUAAAGAUCUUUUAUCGGGGACGAAGUUUAUUGACGGUACCCGAUGAAUAA